UACGUAGGGUGCGAGCGUUGUCCGGAAUUAUUGGGCGUAAAGAGCUCGUAGGCGGCCUGUCACGUCGGAUGUGAAAGCCCAGGGCUUAACCCUGGGUCUGCAUUCGAUACGGGCAGGCUAGAGUUCGAUAGGGGAGAUCGGAAUUCCUGGUGUAGCGGUGAAAUGCGCAGAUAUCAGGAGGAACACCGGUGGCGAAGGCGGAUCUCUGGGCCGAUACUGACGCUGAGGAGCGAAAGCAUGGGGAG
RNAcentral lists this ribosomal RNA (245 nucleotides) under uncultured bacterium. Its description in RNAcentral is "partial 16S ribosomal RNA". It matches the Rfam family "Bacterial small subunit ribosomal RNA", at positions 524 to 768 of the family's 1533-position model. The record is from RNAcentral.